CAGAGCAAAGAGGUGAACUGCACUAUUUUAAAACAUAAUAAUUAAAAAAAAUAUCUACAGGAGAUAAAAAAGGAGAAUUCAUACCUUUUGAUCUGAUCUCAGUUUUGAUUUAACUGAUUAAACAAUGGGGGUUGGACUGAUGAUAUCAGUUUCCUUGCUUCUAAUAGCCACAACAAUAAUGCCUGGCAGUAUCACCACAGCCCAAACAACAACACCGGCUGCCACAACUACCACUGCUCCUGUGACAACAACAACGGCUGCCACCACCACCACAACCCCAGCAACUACGACAACAACAGCUG
Long non-coding RNA from Oreochromis aureus, 302 nucleotides. RefSeq lists it as uncharacterized. The record is from RefSeq and is a predicted model, not a curated record. NCBI's taxonomy places the organism in Eukaryota, Metazoa, Chordata, Actinopteri, Cichliformes, Cichlidae. The transcript has 3 exons.